CGCUUAUAGAGAAAGGCAGAGGGAAUAGACCCGCUGAAGCCUUAGCAACCUGACACUGGUCAAGGUGCUACAUUCUACUCGGUUUAGCCCGGGAAAGAUAAGCU
This 104-nucleotide non-coding RNA is filed under the name Sphingobacterium psychroaquaticum. Its description in RNAcentral is "SAM-I sequence". It matches the Rfam family "SAM riboswitch aptamer (S box leader)". From Rfam's summary of the family: The SAM riboswitch is found upstream of a number of genes which code for proteins involved in methionine or cysteine biosynthesis in Gram-positive bacteria. Lineage: Bacteria; Pseudomonadati; Bacteroidota; Sphingobacteriia; Sphingobacteriales; Sphingobacteriaceae. The record is from Rfam by way of RNAcentral.